Molecule: ribosomal RNA, 538 nt
Filed under: Bifidobacterium longum subsp. suillum
Lineage: Bacteria; Bacillati; Actinomycetota; Actinomycetes; Bifidobacteriales; Bifidobacteriaceae
Description: bacterial SSU rRNA
Rfam family: Bacterial small subunit ribosomal RNA
Source: RNAcentral
UCUCCUGGGAACGGGUGGUAAUGCCGGAUGCUCCAGUUGAUCGCAUGGUCUUCUGGGAAAGCUUUCGCGGUAUGGGAUGGGGUCGCGUCCUAUCAGCUUGACGGCGGGGUAACGGCCCACCGUGGCUUCGACGGGUAGCCGGCCUGAGAGGGCGACCGGCCACAUUGGGACUGAGAUACGGCCCAGACUCCUACGGGAGGCAGCAGUGGGGAAUAUUGCACAAUGGGCGCAAGCCUGAUGCAGCGACGCCGCGUGAGGGAUGGAGGCCUUCGGGUUGUAAACCUCUUUUAUCGGGGAGCAAGCGAGAGUGAGUUUACCCGUUGAAUAAGCACCGGCUAACUACGUGCCAGCAGCCGCGGUAAUACGUAGGGUGCAAGCGUUAUCCGGAAUUAUUGGGCGUAAAGGGCUCGUAGGCGGUUCGUCGCGUCCGGUGUGAAAGUCCAUCGCUUAACGGUGGAUCCGCGCCGGGUACGGGCGGGCUUGAGUGCGGUAGGGGAGACUGGAAUUCCCGGUGUAACGGUGGAAUGUGUAGAUAUCG